RNAcentral lists this transfer RNA (67 nucleotides) under Acroneuria carolinensis. Its description in RNAcentral is "tRNA-Tyr". It matches the Rfam family "tRNA". From Rfam's summary of the family: Transfer RNA (tRNA) molecules are approximately 80 nucleotides in length. Their secondary structure includes four short double-helical elements and three loops (D, anti-codon, and T loops). Lineage: Eukaryota; Metazoa; Arthropoda; Insecta; Plecoptera; Perlidae. The record is from RNAcentral.
GGUAGAAUGGCUGAGUUAUAGGCAGUAGAUUGUAAAUCUAUUAACGAGGGUGAACCCUCUUCUGCCA